Molecule: ribosomal RNA, 492 nt
Filed under: uncultured bacterium
Lineage: Bacteria
Description: partial 16S ribosomal RNA
Rfam family: Bacterial small subunit ribosomal RNA
Source: RNAcentral
AGUGAACGCUGGCGGUAGGCCUAACACAUGCGAGUCGAACGGCAGCACAGUAAGAGCUUGCUCUUACGGGUGGCGAGUGGCGGACGGGUGAGGAAUACAUCGGAAUCUACUUUUUCGUGGGGGAUAACGUAGGGAAACUUACCCUAAUACCGCAUACGACCUACGGCUGAAAGCAGGGGAUCUUCGGACCUUGCGCGAUUGAAUGAGCCGAUGUCGGAUUAGCUAGUUGGCGGGUUAAAGGCCCACCAAGGCUACGAUCCGUAGCUGAUCUGCGAGGAUGAUAAGACACACUGGAAUUGAGACAGGAUCCAGACGCCUACGGGAGGCAGCAGUGGGGAAUAUUAGAAAAGGGGCGCACACCUGAUCCAGCCAUACCGCGUGGGUGAAGAAGGCCUUCGGGUUGUAAAGCCCUUUUGUUGGGAAAGAAAAGCAGCAGGGUAAUACCCCGCUGUUCUGACGGUACCCAAAGAAUAAGCACCGGCUAACUUCGUG